Molecule: long non-coding RNA, 695 nt
Organism: Alnus glutinosa
Lineage: Eukaryota; Viridiplantae; Streptophyta; Magnoliopsida; Fagales; Betulaceae
Exons: 3
Source: RefSeq, a predicted model, not a curated record
UUCUAAUUUUAAGUGCACAGUAACUCCAAGGGAAACAAGUCCAGCGUUCGACACCUGGGAACAAAUAAUUAGGGGCUUUUUUUUUCCUCUCCUUUUUUCCUCUUCCCUUUCUCAUUCAUUCCCAUCCUCGCUUGACGCUUCAUUCCCAAUCUCCUUCAAUUCCCUCAACAACCUACUCACCUUCAAAUUCAACACUUCACUCAACAUCUUGCUCACCUGCCCAAUCCCCUUCAAUUUCUUAACUUGAAGCUUCCCAGCUAGGGUUUCGAUUUCACAUCCAAUUACUCGAUCGAAGAAGGCAACUGCGAUUUUUCUCUCUAACAGGGCCUAUUUUCCGUGCUCCAUGAAUGCCACCUUUCCAGUAAACUCCUCUGCUACCUGUAAUCUUGAACUGCCUUGCAGUUGAUGCACAUAGAAUCUUUUGCCUUCUGCUGGCAUCCUCCAACGUGGACAACUAGUCUGCUAAAGUAAAAAGGUUCCAGUUGUGGUUUGGUACGUAAACCUUGUUUCAAUUUUGAGUUGAACUUGGUUGUGCUAAAGUGAUGUAUUGGUCUAGUUUAAGCUUCCCACCAUUCUGGAUGAAAUUCAACAUGAUUAGUAUAAGGUGUUAAGAUUUCUCCUGAAUUACAAUUUUUUUAUGUUUUUUUCUUCUUUUACUUAUCUUUACACGUGAAUCUCUAAUCAGCUCAUCAAUA